UACAGAGGGUGCGAGCGUUGUCCGGAAUCACUGGGCGUAAAGGGCGCGUAGGUGGCGCGACAAGUCAGUGGUGAAAGCUCGAUGCUCAACAUCGAGUCGGCCACUGAUACUGUUGGGCUCGAGCACUGUAGAGGCAGAUGGAAUUCCGGGUGUAGCGGUGGAAUGCGUAGAGAUCCGGAAGAACACCGGUGGCGAAGGCGGUCUGCUGGGCAGUUGCUGACACUGAGGCGCGACAGCGUGGGGAGCAAACAGG
This 253-nucleotide ribosomal RNA is filed under the name uncultured bacterium. RNAcentral describes it as "partial 16S ribosomal RNA". It matches the Rfam family "Bacterial small subunit ribosomal RNA", at positions 524 to 776 of the family's 1533-position model. The record is from RNAcentral.